UAAAAAACUUUUUGUGAAAUU
Molecule: non-coding RNA, 21 nt
Filed under: Caenorhabditis elegans
Lineage: Eukaryota; Metazoa; Nematoda; Chromadorea; Rhabditida; Rhabditidae
Source: RNAcentral